RNAcentral lists this ribosomal RNA (2904 nucleotides) under Salmonella enterica. RNAcentral describes it as "bacterial LSU rRNA". It matches the Rfam family "Bacterial large subunit ribosomal RNA". Lineage: Bacteria; Pseudomonadati; Pseudomonadota; Gammaproteobacteria; Enterobacterales; Enterobacteriaceae. The record is from RNAcentral.
UUAAGCGACUAAGCGUACACGGUGGAUGCCCUGGCAGUCAGAGGCGAUGAAGGGCGUGCUAAUCUGCGAUAAGCGCCGGUAAGGUGAUAUGAACCGUUAUAACCGGCGAUACCCGAAUGGGGAAACCCAGUGUGAUUCGUCACACUAUCAUUAACUGAAUCCAUAGGUUAAUGAGGCGAACCGGGGGAACUGAAACAUCUAAGUACCCCGAGGAAAAGAAAUCAACCGAGAUUCCCCCAGUAGCGGCGAGCGAACGGGGAGGAGCCCAGAGCCUGAAUCAGCAUGUGUGUUAGUGGAAGCGUCUGGAAAGGCGCGCGAUACAGGGUGACAGCCCCGUACACAAAAGCGCAUGUGCUGUGAGCUCGAUGAGUAGGGCGGGACACGUGGUAUCCUGUCUGAAUAUGGGGGGACCAUCCUCCAAGGCUAAAUACUCCUGACUGACCGAUAGUGAACCAGUACCGUGAGGGAAAGGCGAAAAGAACCCCGGCGAGGGGAGUGAAAAAGAACCUGAAACCGUGUACGUACAAGCAGUGGGAGCCUCUUUUAUGGGGUGACUGCGUACCUUUUGUAUAAUGGGUCAGCGACUUAUAUUCUGUAGCAAGGUUAACCGUAUAGGGGAGCCGGAGGGAAACCGAGUCUUAACCGGGCGUUAAGUUGCAGGGUAUAGACCCGAAACCCGGUGAUCUAGCCAUGGGCAGGUUGAAGGUUGGGUAACACUAACUGGAGGACCGAACCGACUAAUGUUGAAAAAUUAGCGGAUGACCUGUGGCUGGGGGUGAAAGGCCAAUCAAACCGGGAGAUAGCUGGUUCUCCCCGAAAGCUAUUUAGGUAGCGCCUCGUGAAUUCAUCUCCGGGGGUAGAGCACUGUUUCGGCUAGGGGGCCAUCCCGGCUUACCAACCCGAUGCAAACUGCGAAUACCGGAGAAUGUUAUCACGGGAGACACACGGCGGGUGCUAACGUCCGUCGUGAAGAGGGAAACAACCCAGACCGCCAGCUAAGGUCCCAAAGUCAUGGUUAAGUGGGAAACGAUGUGGGAAGGCCCAGACAGCCAGGAUGUUGGCUUAGAAGCAGCCAUCAUUUAAAGAAAGCGUAAUAGCUCACUGGUCGAGUCGGCCUGCGCGGAAGAUGUAACGGGGCUAAACCAUGCACCGAAGCUGCGGCAGCGACGCUGAUGCGUUGUUGGGUAGGGGAGCGUUCUGUAAGCCUGCGAAGGUGGCCUGUGAGGGUUGCUGGAGGUAUCAGAAGUGCGAAUGCUGACAUAAGUAACGAUAAAGCGGGUGAAAAGCCCGCUCGCCGGAAGACCAAGGGUUCCUGUCCAACGUUAAUCGGGGCAGGGUGAGUCGACCCCUAAGGCGAGGCCGAAAGGCGUAGUCGAUGGGAAACGGGUUAAUAUUCCCGUACUUGGUGUUACUGCGAAGGGGGGACGGAGAAGGCUAUGUUGGCCGGGCGACGGUUGUCCCGGUUUAAGCGUGUAGGUGUGUGUUCCAGGUAAAUCCGGUUCACUUUAACACUGAGGCGUGACGACGAGGCACUACGGUGCUGAAGCAACAAAUGCCCUGCUUCCAGGAAAAGCCUCUAAGCAUCAGGUAACAUCAAAUCGUACCCCAAACCGACACAGGUGGUCAGGUAGAGAAUACCAAGGCGCUUGAGAGAACUCGGGUGAAGGAACUAGGCAAAAUGGUGCCGUAACUUCGGGAGAAGGCACGCUGACAUGUAGGUGAAGUGAUUUACUCAUGGAGCUGAAGUCAGUCGAAGAUACCAGCUGGCUGCAACUGUUUAUUAAAAACACAGCACUGUGCAAACACGAAAGUGGACGUAUACGGUGUGACGCCUGCCCGGUGCCGGAAGGUUAAUUGAUGGGGUCAGCGCAAGCGAAGCUCCUGAUCGAAGCCCCGGUAAACGGCGGCCGUAACUAUAACGGUCCUAAGGUAGCGAAAUUCCUUGUCGGGUAAGUUCCGACCUGCACGAAUGGCGUAAUGAUGGCCAGGCUGUCUCCACCCGAGACUCAGUGAAAUUGAACUCGCUGUGAAGAUGCAGUGUACCCGCGGCAAGACGGAAAGACCCCGUGAACCUUUACUAUAGCUUGACACUGAACAUUGAGCCUUGAUGUGUAGGAUAGGUGGGAGGCUUUGAAGUGUGGACGCCAGUCUGCAUGGAGCCGACCUUGAAAUACCACCCUUUAAUGUUUGAUGUUCUAACGUGGACCCGUUACCCGGGUUGCGGACAGUGUCUGGUGGGUAGUUUGACUGGGGCGGUCUCCUCCUAAAGAGUAACGGAGGAGCACGAAGGUUGGCUAAUCCUGGUCGGACAUCAGGAGGUUAGUGCAAUGGCAUAAGCCAGCUUGACUGCGAGCGUGACGGCGCGAGCAGGUGCGAAAGCAGGUCAUAGUGAUCCGGUGGUUCUGAAUGGAAGGGCCAUCGCUCAACGGAUAAAAGGUACUCCGGGGAUAACAGGCUGAUACCGCCCAAGAGUUCAUAUCGACGGCGGUGUUUGGCACCUCGAUGUCGGCUCAUCACAUCCUGGGGCUGAAGUAGGUCCCAAGGGUAUGGCUGUUCGCCAUUUAAAGUGGUACGCGAGCUGGGUUUAGAACGUCGUGAGACAGUUCGGUCCCUAUCUGCCGUGGGCGCUGGAGAACUGAGGGGGGCUGCUCCUAGUACGAGAGGACCGGAGUGGACGCAUCACUGGUGUUCGGGUUGUCAUGCCAAUGGCACUGCCCGGUAGCUAAAUGCGGAAGAGAUAAGUGCUGAAAGCAUCUAAGCACGAAACUUGCCCCGAGAUGAGUUCUCCCUGAGACUUAGAGUCUCCUGAAGGAACGUUGAAGACGACGACGUUGAUAGGCCGGGUGUGUAAGCGCAGCGAUGCGUUGAGCUAACCGGUACUAAUGAACCGUGAGGCUUAACCUU